RNAcentral lists this long non-coding RNA (445 nucleotides) under Marmota monax (woodchuck). Lineage: Eukaryota; Metazoa; Chordata; Mammalia; Rodentia; Sciuridae. The record is from RNAcentral.
AAUUAAUCCACUAUUCAUUUUUCGGACUAAUUUCAAAUACCUCUUCCUCCUAAAAGCCUAAUUGGAAAUUAUAUAGCCUUUCUAGAUUUCUCAACUGUCCUAUUUCUUUUUCUAGGACAUAUGCUACACUCUAUAUUAUUGUUAUAGUUUAUAGUCAUCACAUUUCUUACUAUGGGAUUAAGUUAUUUGAGAAUAGGAAUUCUUCCUUACUCAUUAUGUACAACAAUCAAAUCUAUUUUGUUAGAUGAAUGUUGAAGUAAACUUAAAUUUCCACUUCCCUUCUCAACCUCAUUAAAGUACCUAUGCAUUUUAUGUGUAACUUAACCAAUGUAUCAGCUGAAAAAAUAUUGUCUAUGAUUGGUGUAAUUCUUCAACUCACCCAGUAAAAACUAUAGACAAAUGUAAGAAUUAUAAUUAGUUUAUUAGUUCAUGUUAAUCUAUUAAU